RNAcentral lists this long non-coding RNA (1107 nucleotides) under Marmota monax (woodchuck). The record is from RNAcentral. Lineage: Eukaryota; Metazoa; Chordata; Mammalia; Rodentia; Sciuridae.
UCUGCCUGACUCUGGGAGAGUGUUUCUACAGAGGCGUCCCUGGCCUACCUGGAGACCGACACAUUCUUUACCGUCCAGAGCCUGGUUUUCUGGAGGCGCUUCCUCGCACACAACCAUCCUGAGAAAGUGCUGUGCGUGAUCCUAACACAAUGCCCGGCCCAGGCGGAUCCAGUCCUAUAAAUCACAGCUCAGAAUCUGUCUCGUCGCCUAUACUGUUUUGGAAUGUGAAUUGAAAAUAUGCACACGGAGGGAUUCCCUCUGCAUUGACUAUAUAAGGGAACAGGAGCAGAGGCCCAGGCAGCCCGCGCCCCAGGCCCGUCCACGGGGGUUGGUGGCUGUGCUCUCGGGGAUACAGCAGUGGCCUGUCCACCUCCUCUGUUGCCAUCUCAGGUGACCCCGCAGGGGCCGUCGGGCUGCAUAGCAACACCUUAUAGUUAAGCAGAGCCUUGUCUGUAGGAAUCCAAGUGCCCAGUGAAGGUUGCCUGUUGACGCUGUGGACACCCUGGGGUGGGGGGCUGCAGAGACUGUCCCAUCUAGAGGUGGGGAAGUGCUGCUGUGACGUGCUUCCCAGUCUCCAGUGUGUCUGUGUUUCGUGCUCAGCAGGCGGAUGGUCUGGAUGCCCUGGGAAGCGUCUUUCCUGUGACACGGUCAGCCCUGACCACAGGCAGCCUCCUCAGAACCAUAGGGUGGUACCGUGAAGAAACUGGGCUGGAAAGCGGAGCGCCCAGGACACUAGUGGGAGGGACCAGGUGCUGAGGACGGGUCCUGCUUCCUUCCCAUCCAUGUAGGGUCAGCGUUAGGGUCAGUAGUUUUUAAAGGUACAGUCUGUCUGAUGGUUGUUUUGUUUCACUGUAACAUAACAUGACGUUGGCGACUUAACUUCACAGAAAUCCAGCUAGUGUGCUCUCUGCCCAGCACCUGGGAGCACUUACUGAGGUCCAGUGGGUUGGGAGCUGCUCAGUGGAGGGGUCUGUGGGGUAGGAGAAUCGAGGCCUGCUCUUCCUACAGACUCGGCUGCCUGCUGCCCUGGCCCUGGGUGCCUCCGGCCUGCUCCGGAGGCCCUGCAGCCUAGUGUGGGAAGGGAGACCCUGUAGAGUGGGGUGGUGG